CUGCUGCAGGGGCGGCGGGCGCCCUGGGUGGGCCACGAGGCAGGGACAGCCGAGGCUCCGCGCUCACCCCACCCGCAAGGGGCCAAGCGCAGACUCAGGGGAGCCAGAGGGGCCGGACCGCUGAGCAAGGGCUGGGGAAGGAUCCCACGCUUGGAUACUUGGGAGUGAAGAUGUGUUAUUUCACCCACCGACUCGUUCCACACGACCAAGGCCUGUGCCUGCCCUGAGGGCGAGUUGGUUGAGCCUUGUACAGACAACUCUCAGAGCGUGGGCCUGGGCCGAACCUUUCCCUGUGAGCAGCAGCAUCAGCGUCUAGAACGACGGCCCUCCCGGUCCACGGUGGAAGGUGCGGAGCUCCCGUGGUGUGCUGGCAGCGAUUCGCAGAAGGGAGAUGGAGGGCCACAGGGCAGGUGCUCGCACGGAGUCAUCGAGGUCCAGGGACACCUUCCUCCCAGGAGUGUGUGUACAGUGAUCACUUGCUGCCAUAACACAGUCACAGAUCUACGUGUGUUCUCUGACUCUCAGCUGGGGCUCCAUCGGGGCCUGCUCUGGGCUCACCUGCGUGACCACUGGGCUCAGCUUCCUCGUCUGAGAAGCAUCAGGACUGGCCUUCCCACCCCCGCGUUCCCAGGGCUUCCACACUCCUUUCUAGCCAUGAGUCAGUCCUCAGUGGAUGACCAGUGGCCUGGGGUGGCCCUCUGAUUCUCUCACCUGUACUCAGGGGGCUGAACCUCACUCUUCUCUGCCAAAACCAACCAAUGAAUAAAUAAACAAACAAGCAUGGAAUUCCUAAAAAUGCAGGAUGCGCUUGCCGGCUGGCGAUACUCACAGUGGAGGCAGGAAGGGCAGCAUUCGCCUUCCACAAAGGAUGGACUGGCGCAGGUUGCAGGCGGGCAGGUGAUUUGGUGGCAAAUGGUUUUAAAUUUCUACAAGUGAAGAAAGGCAUGCAUGGAACACUCAUUUAAAAGGAGGGGACGCUGGUACAAGGGCUGAGACUAGAAGGGGUCGACAGAAUGGCUGAAUGUUUUCCAUCCUACGGACCAUACAUUACAGAGAUGUGAAAAUAAGGGCAUCUUUUUCUCCCAUUAGUGCUGACAGCCUAACAAGAACAGGGCCCCCAGAUGGCUCUUUGCAUCCAUUCCAUUCCUUUCUCCCUUCACUGAGCAGCAAGGAUGCAACAGAGAGCUCCAAGCUUCCUGGAAGGAGGGAAGAAAAGACGGGCAGCAGGAACUCCUGUUAUCUAAGGUAAUGCUGAGGCCAUUGUCAGCAGAAAUAGAGUAACAUUAAAAGCUAAAUUGUCUGUCUGUAAGACUUCAGGCAGUGGCUUGUAUUUCCCCCAAACGUUUCUGCUGAGCCUCAGGCUCUGUUGGAACCGGAUGGAAUUAAAUGCAGAGUCUAGGGCCAUGUCUGGCUUCUCUGUUCCUCCUGUUUCUAACCAACUGGGGACGCUGGCCAGGUUGCUCCCCCUCUCUGGGCUCUGGUUCUUUAUGUGCAAACAAAGAGGUUGAUUCAAGUCCUAAAUACGGUUCCUGGCCCUUCUGUGUUUCUUACACUGAAAUUUCCUCACAUAGCUGAACCGGUUUCACACAUCAGCACUGAACGCUGGCAUUUCCAGGCAGUCAGGUUCUGCCAAGUGUCCGAUGGUGGCCUCUUCCCCCAAGAGCCGUGUUCUGGGGCCUCACCUUGCAGGUACACGUGGUGCAGCUGUCCACCACCCACGUUUCAUUUUCCGCAAAGAACCGGCCAUCCUGCCAGCAAGCUGACAUGUUCCUUGUCUUAGGAGGGCCACCAAUGAGCUCCCAGAGAAACUGGUUAUCAUUCGACUGGAAAAUCAAGUGAAACAUUUAAGUGUAGACAAUAAUACUACAUAUUUAGUCAUCAUGCUUGUGGAUGAAAAACAAAGUUCCUCCUUCAUUAAAAAGCUCUAAAGUCAAGUAAGACUUGACUCAUCCCUGGGUGGAAGUUCCGGAAGUUGUCCUCCAUCCUCACGGGGCUUUCUGAGCCACAGCUUCGUCACUGCCUGGGCUUCUGGGGCUCCCCAUCCACCUGCCUUCCUGGAGAGCGGAAAUCGCGUGGCUCACAUCACACCUGGACCAGUGCAGAGCAACGCUGGGGCUCCUUCGACUGGGGACGCCAGGUGGGACUGGGGUGGGAACUAG
This 2159-nucleotide long non-coding RNA is filed under the name Homo sapiens (human). RNAcentral describes it as "HSALNT0338675". The record is from RNAcentral. Lineage: Eukaryota; Metazoa; Chordata; Mammalia; Primates; Hominidae.